GUGCUCUUAAUGUUUCGCUUAAAGAUUUAAAUAAGUUAAACGUUAUUCACGUCGCUGGGACAAAAGGCAAAGGCUCAACUUGUGCUUUUGUGGAAUCUAUACUAAGAGAACUUGGUUUUGCUACCGGUCUUUAUACUUCACCACAUCUAGUAGAGGUGCGUGAACGUAUCAAAGUUAACGGGAAAAGUCUAUCACGAGAUGACUUUGCUUUCUGGUUUUGGAAAUGCUUUAAUCGUCUUAAGGAAAAGAAAGUUUAAAGCGAGUUGCACGGCAUUAUCAACUUUAGUAUUGACUUUAUUAGGUUUCGGCUCCCUCUUAUUUUCGUUUUUUAACGGUGAUGGCCUUCAAGAUUUUUAUAGAAGCCAAAGUAAAGCGCAGUUGUUUGAACUUUUUUUGAUUUAUUUUAGUAUAUAUUGAGAUCGACGUCGCAGUCGUUGAAGUUGGUAUUGGCGGUGAAUACGACGCAACAAACGUCAUUCCGAACCCGAUUGUCUGUGGAGUUACCCGUUUGGGUCUUGCGAUUUAUUUUAAUUAGUAUUAUUUGUACCUCCUUUACUUCGAUAUUAUUUCGCUUUGGUAAAGAUUCUCAGGAAAAAGUUCAAGAUUUUUAUUUUUGCUUGAAGUUUAUAAUAAACUAA
This is a long non-coding RNA of Zophobas morio, 638 nucleotides long. RefSeq lists it as uncharacterized. The record is from RefSeq and is a predicted model, not a curated record. NCBI's taxonomy places the organism in Eukaryota, Metazoa, Arthropoda, Insecta, Coleoptera, Tenebrionidae. The transcript has 4 exons.